CCUACGGGAGGCAGCAGUAGGGAAUAUUGCUCAAUGGGGGAAACCCUGAAGCAGCAACGCCGCGUGGAGGAUGAAGGUUUUCGGAUUGUAAACUCCUUUUGUUAGAGAAGAUAAUGACGGUAUCUAACGAAUAAGCACCGGCUAACUCCGUGCCAGCAGCCGCGGUAAUACGGAGGGUGCAAGCGUUACUCGGAAUCUCUGGGCGGAAAGAGCGCGUAGGCGGGAUAGCAAGUCAGAUGUGAAAUCCUAUGGCUUAACCAUAGAACUGCAUUUGAAACUGUUAUUCUAGAGUAUGGGAGAGGUAGGUGGAAUGCUUGGUGUAGGGGUAAAAUCCGUAGAGAUCAAGAGGAAUACUCAUUGCGAAGGCGACCUGCUAGAACAUAACUGACGCUGAUGCGCGAAAGCGUGGGGAGCAAACAGGAUUAGAUACCCGGGUAGUC
This 440-nucleotide ribosomal RNA is filed under the name uncultured bacterium. Its description in RNAcentral is "partial 16S ribosomal RNA". It matches the Rfam family "Bacterial small subunit ribosomal RNA", at positions 338 to 795 of the family's 1533-position model. The record is from RNAcentral.